CCGGCACCUGAGUUUUUUUACUCUCCUGCGUGGGCUCAGUCCACAGACUGGAUUGUGACACAUCACUGAACCCAGGAUCUAGGUGAUGUAAAUUUAUUCCUGCCUUGGCGCUCCUCACAGGGAGCACUGUGACAUAUUACUGCACCUAACACAGGGGAACCAUAACCAGGUUAUGUGACUCUCCUGCCUGUGCCUUGCCCACAUGGACCACUGUGACAUAUUGCUGGGUCUAACGUAACUCUCUUGCCUAGGUCCUAUCUACAGAAAGGAUUGUGACACAUCUCUGUGCCCAUCACACAGGUUUUGCCCAUGGGGAGCAUUGUGACACAUCACUGAGCCCAACACCAAGGUGAUGUUGCUCUUUUGCCUUGGCCCUGUGCUCAAAAAGCAUUGAGACAUAUUGCUGGUCCCAACAGCAGGUUGCUGUGUCUUCUGCCUGGACCCCGUUCACAAGGGCAUUGUGAUAUACCUCUGGGCCCAUCAACUAUUUGAUGUGUCUCUUCUGUCUUGCCUAGGCUUUCUCCAUGGAAGAUAUUGUGACAUAACUUUGGGCCCAGCACCGAGGCAAUGUGACUUUUUCCUUCUGCCUGGACCAUGCCCACAGAAGGGAUAAUGACUUAUCACUAAGCGCAGCACUCAUGAUGUAAUAUUUCUACCUGAUGUUCCUCAUAGGAAUCAUUUUGACAUGUUUCUGGGUUCAUCACCUAGUUGAUGUGACCCUUCUUAUUUUCAGACUUGUUCAAAGUGGAGAUUGCUACAUAUUGCUUGGUCCAGCUCCUGUGUGAUGUGACUCUCCUCUCAUACCUCGGUGCUCCCCACUGGAGUGAUUGCGACAUAUAGCUUGGCCCGGGCUCUAGUUUAUGUGACGUUUCUCUUGCUCCUUAGCCCUGCUCACCUGGGGGCAUUAUAACAUAUCUGAACCCAUCACCUAAGUAAUGUGACUCUCUUGCCUGAUCUCCUCAGGGUGUAUUGUUAUAUGUUGUCAGACCCAGCAACUAAGUGAUAUGACUCUUCUCUGCUGCUUGGGUUCUGUCCAAUAAAAAAUUGUGAUGUGUCA
Molecule: long non-coding RNA, 1057 nt
Organism: Sapajus apella (tufted capuchin)
Lineage: Eukaryota; Metazoa; Chordata; Mammalia; Primates; Cebidae
Exons: 2
Source: RefSeq, a predicted model, not a curated record